Musa acuminata AAA Group (dessert banana) is the source of this 810-nucleotide long non-coding RNA. RefSeq lists it as uncharacterized. Lineage: Eukaryota; Viridiplantae; Streptophyta; Magnoliopsida; Zingiberales; Musaceae. The transcript has 2 exons. The record is from RefSeq and is a predicted model, not a curated record.
AUCCACGGAGCGUGACGUGCUCUCUUCCCCACGCCCACGCUCACGCUCCCUGGUUUUUAAUUCCCGGUCUCUCAGCGUACUAUAGUAAAUGGAGGGAGGGAAGGGAGCGUGGGAGGCAGUCAUGGCGGGUUUCCCGGUGCCGCCUUAAAAUCUGUGGCGGUGGUGACGAAAGGAACUCCCUGCUCCGGUUCCCUUCAGCCCCUGUUCUCCCCUGUCCCAACAAUUAUGGGCUCCUCUGUUAUUUAAGGGCCUGUUUGCGAGCCCCUUCUUUGCGUAGCUUACAGGCACGCGGCAGAUAUCAUUGUGGUGCGGAAGAAUCCUGUGGAAAGAUGGGAUCUUUGCGCUUCUUUGCUCUGGUUUUCGUGGCUGGAGCAGCGGUUGCGUUCUUUUCCUCCAGCAAUAGAGUCGCCAUUGCUGCAGGUUAUGCCUCGACUGUGCCUGCAAAGGGUGGAGGUGUCAUGGCGAUCAUCACCAACAAGAAAUUGAAGGACGACAGCUUCGACAUCAGCGCCAUGAGAAAUGGAAGGGAUUUAGCAGGUGCAAAUGUGGAGGAUUACUUCCCAUUCGAUACAGUGCCAAGCUCGAAAGCCGCCAUCAAAUCCUGACCAAUCGAACACGGUACUCCUCGCAUGCCAUGUAUCCCCCGGCCAACGCCACCAAGCCAACCCAAGCAUGGAUCAUCUCUCUCAGCAGCUCUGCUUCGUCUAUCACUUAUCAGAUCUGUAGGUGUACUGUUAAUUACUAAGUUUCUGGUGUUGUAAGACUCAUCAGGAUAAACCAAGUACGGCAAGCUACUACGACUCUCUUGUA